GUGCUCACAUCAGCAACAAAUGCACUAAAACUGGAACAAUACAGAGAUGAGCAUGGCCCCUGUACAGGGAUGACAUGCAAAUUCAUGAAUCAUUCCACAUUUUU
This is a small nuclear RNA of Ailuropoda melanoleuca (giant panda), 104 nucleotides long. The record is from Ensembl. NCBI's taxonomy places the organism in Eukaryota, Metazoa, Chordata, Mammalia, Carnivora, Ursidae.